Talpa occidentalis (Iberian mole) is the source of this 545-nucleotide long non-coding RNA. RefSeq lists it as uncharacterized. Lineage: Eukaryota; Metazoa; Chordata; Mammalia; Eulipotyphla; Talpidae. The transcript has 3 exons. The record is from RefSeq and is a predicted model, not a curated record.
UUCCCGAAAGGUGGGGUGGCACCUGCGAGAGACCGCGGGGUGGGGUGCCGGAGCCGGCGGGCGCUUGCUGGGUUGGGGAGCGCGCUGCUCAGCUGAGGUUAAAGCACUGGCAAAGAAGGGAAAGGCAGAAAGUAUGUCUUGAUGGUGUCUCCAGAAGAAAUGAGCAUUUGAAUCAGUAGACAGAGGAAAGAAGAUUGACCUCACCAAUGUGGGUAAAGAAUUUGUAAAGAUGGUAGUGAAGUUAGAAUCAUAUGGUCAGACAAGGAUGUCCACUCUCACCACUGCUCUUCAAUAUAAUACUGGAAGUCCUAGCCAGAGCAAUAAGACAAGAGAAAGACAUCCGAGGAAUCGAAAUAGGAAAAGAAGAAGUCAAACUAUCACUAUUUGCAGAUGAUAUGAUAAUAUACAUAGAGAACCCCAAAAACUCCACAGAAAAACUAAUUCAACUUAUCAAUCAGUUCAGUAAAGUGGCAGGAUACAAAAUCAACACGCAAAAGUCAGUAGCCUUCCUAUACACAAACAAUAAAUCUGAAGAAGAAGAAAUA